UACGGAGGGUGCGAGCGUUGUCCGGAAUCACUGGGCGUAAAGGGCGCGUAGGCGGCCUCUUAAGCGUGCGGUGAAAGCCCGGGGCUCAACCCCGGGUCGGCCGUGCGAACUGGGGGGCUGGAGCACUGUAGAGGCGGGUGGAAUUCCGGGUGUAGCGGUGGAAUGCGUAGAGAUCCGGAAGAACACCGGUGGCGAAGGCGGCCCGCUGGGCAGUGGCUGACGCUGAGGCGCGACAGCGUGGGGAGCAAAC
Molecule: ribosomal RNA, 250 nt
Filed under: uncultured bacterium
Lineage: Bacteria
Description: partial 16S ribosomal RNA
Rfam family: Bacterial small subunit ribosomal RNA
Source: RNAcentral